Myotis davidii is the source of this 92-nucleotide long non-coding RNA. RefSeq lists it as uncharacterized. The transcript has 3 exons. The record is from RefSeq and is a predicted model, not a curated record. NCBI's taxonomy places the organism in Eukaryota, Metazoa, Chordata, Mammalia, Chiroptera, Vespertilionidae.
GCCCUACAGGACACCUACUAUAUAAGGCCACGCUACCAAUUCCAGAAGACAUAGCAGCUCUUCUUAAUACAAAGAAACACACACAGGAAAGC